RNAcentral lists this long non-coding RNA (350 nucleotides) under Setaria viridis. Its description in RNAcentral is "long non-coding RNA (SVIR_LNC006672)". Lineage: Eukaryota; Viridiplantae; Streptophyta; Magnoliopsida; Poales; Poaceae. The record is from RNAcentral.
UUGUUUAAAGAGAGAACUACUUCUCGUGUUGGGUCAGUCCUAACAUAUGUCUCCACAUGUGUCCACAUUAUUAGUUCAACAUCUCCAUGUCCAUGACUUGUGAAACAUAGUCAUCAACUAAUACAUGUGCUAGUCUAAUAUUCAUGUGUGUCCUCACAUGAACUCCGACUAGGGACAACUUUAGAAUAACCAUACAAGUAAAGAGUUUCACAUACAAUUCAAAUAAUUGCAAAUCAAUUCAAGUAGCCUUUAAUGGAUAUUCAAUGAACACAAUAUACAAAUCAUGGAUACAAAUGGAAUAUCAUCAUCUCUAUGAUUGCCUCUAGGGCAUACCUCCAACAGUCUCCCAC